RNAcentral lists this ribosomal RNA (849 nucleotides) under uncultured bacterium. RNAcentral's name for it is "bacterial SSU rRNA". It matches the Rfam family "Bacterial small subunit ribosomal RNA", at positions 87 to 933 of the family's 1533-position model. The record is from RNAcentral.
UGAUGAAAGCGGCGGACUGGUGAGUAACGCGUGGGUGACCUACCUUGAGGAUGGGGAUAGCUGUUAGAAAUAGCAGGUAAUACCGAAUACGUUCACAAUAUUAUGAUUAUGUGAAGAAAGGAGCUACGGCUCCGCCUUGAGAUGGGCCCGCGUCCCAUUAGCUAGUUGGUGAGGUAAAGGCCCACCAAGGCGAAGAUGGGUAGCCGGCCUGAGAGGGUGAACGGCCACACUGGGACUGAGAUACGGCCCAGACUCCUACGGGAGGCAGCAGCUAAGAAUAUUCCACAAUGGACGAAAGUCUGAUGGAGCGACGCCGCGUGGAUGACGAAGGCCGAAAGGUUGUAAAAUCCUUUUGCGGAUGAAGAAUAAGCGGUGGAGGGAAUGCCAUCGUGAUGACGUUAGUCCGCGAAUAAGCCCCGGCUAAUUACGUGCCAGCAGCCGCGGUAACACGUAAGGGGCAAGCGUUGUUCGGAAUUAUUGGGCGUAAAGGGCGCGUAGGCGGCCGCGUAAGUCUGAUGUGAAAACCCCGGGCUCAACCCGGGAACUGCAUUGGAAACUGUGCGGCUUGAGUCACGGAGGGGAAAUCGGAAUUCCUGGUGUAGGGGUGAAAUCUGUAGAUAUCAGGAAGAACACCGGUGGCGAAGGCGGAUUUCCAGCCGAUGACUGACGCUGAGGCGCGAAAGUGCGGGGAGCAAACAGGAUUAGAUACCCUGGUAGUCCGCACUAUAAACGAUGCACACUAGGUGUCGGGACGAGCGUCUCGGCGCCGGAGCGAACGCGAUAAGUGUGCCGCCUGGGGAGUAUGCCCGCAAGGGUGAAACUCAAAGGAAUUGACGGAUCACUAGUGAA